AACGAACGCUGGCGGCAUGCCUAACACAUGCAAGUCGAACGAGACCUUCGGGUCUAGUGGCGCACGGGUGCGUAACGCGUGGGAACCUGCCCUUAGGUUCGGAAUAACUCCCCGAAAGGGGUGCUAAUACCGGAUAAUGUCUUCGGACCAAAGAUUUAUCGCCUUUGGAUGGGCCCGCGUUGGAUUAGCUAGUUGGUAGGGUAAAAGCCUACCAAGGCGACGCUCCAUAGCUGGUCUGAGAGGAUGAUCAGCCACACUGGGACUGAGACACGGCCCAGACUCCUACGGGAGGCAGCAGUGGGGAAUAUUGGACAAUGGGCGAAAGCCUGAUCCAGCAAUGCCGCGUGAGUGAUGAAGGCCUGAGGGUUGUAAAGCUCUUUUACCCGGGAUGAUAAUGACAGUACCGGGAGAAUAAGCUCCGGCUAACUCCGUG
RNAcentral lists this ribosomal RNA (433 nucleotides) under uncultured bacterium. RNAcentral describes it as "partial 16S ribosomal RNA". It matches the Rfam family "Bacterial small subunit ribosomal RNA", at positions 29 to 507 of the family's 1533-position model. The record is from RNAcentral.